This is a long non-coding RNA of Homo sapiens (human), 1640 nucleotides long. Ensembl annotates it as GMDS divergent transcript. Its record names the gene GMDS-DT. The record is from Ensembl. NCBI's taxonomy places the organism in Eukaryota, Metazoa, Chordata, Mammalia, Primates, Hominidae.
GCCGCCGCCACCGCCUCAGGGAAGAGGAAGGAGGCCGCGGCUUCGCGUCCCGCCUCUCGCCUGGCUGGCCGUGGGGGGCCUGGACGCAGUGGCCUCCCGAAUCUCCCAGGACCCUAAUAUCGCCCGAGGAUGCUGGGAGGAACGCUGAGCCGACCUCUCCGUUAGGCUGAAGAUUGCACAAACCAUGCUAAUGGCCAGCAUGGAUGGAGGGAGCGUGUGAGAUGUGUGGGGCAGCGUGCUGCAUCUCAGCCAACUCCAGGAGCCAGUUGAUGUGAUGGACUACCUUAAUUGAUUUUUGAAUGUUGAGCCAGCCUUAUGCAUGUGGGAUAAACCCCUGUUGAUCAUGCCAGGACUCACAGGUCCAGGAAUCAAGAGGUGGAAGUGGAAGUGGCACCACUCACCAUCACCCCUAGUGAUCCACCAGCAAAAUUUUUGCUGCCUCUUCCCAUGACGUUACGUUCUGUUGGCCUAGAGGUCUUAGUUCCAGAGGGAGGAACGCUGCCACCAGGAGACACAACAGCAAUUCCGUUAAACUGGAAGUUAAGAUUGCCACCUGGACACUUUGGACUCCUGCUAUCUUUAAAUCAACAGGCUAAGAAGGGAGUUACAGUGUUGACUGAGGUGAUUGACCUGGACUAUCAAGAUGAAAUCAGUCUACUACUCCACAGCAGAGGUAAGGAAGAGUAAGCAUGGAAUACAGAAGAUCCAUUAGGACAUCUCUUAGUAUUACCAUGCCCUGUGAUUAAGGUCAAUGGGAAACUACAACAGCCCAAUCCAGGCAGGACUACAAAUGACCCAGACCCUUCAGGAAUGAAGGUUUGGGUCACUCCACCAGGGAAAAAACCACAGCCUGCUGAGGUGCUUGUUGAAGGCAAAGGGAAUACAGAAUGAGUAGUAGAAGAAGGUGGUCAUCAAUACCAGCUACGACCACGUGACCAGCUGCAGAAACCAGGACUGUAAUUGUCAUGAGUAUUUACUCCUUCUUUUGUUAAAAACAUGUUUUUGCAUGUAUACACUUGUACUAAGAAAAUAUCUUUAUUUUGUUUCCUUUCUCCUUUAUCAUGUGAUGUAAGAUUUAUUGACUUGACAUCAACAUUUAAGUAUUGUUAACUUUAUGUAAUAGUAUUUGGGUUGGGGAUUGGUGUGUUUCCAGUUGUAUGAAGGAUAGUUAUGUUAGGCAUAAUUAUGACCUUAUUAUUGUCUUUAUUUGAAUAUUAUGUAUGAUCUCAGGAGAUGUGUAUGGGUUCAAGUUGACAAAGGGUGGACUUGUGAUGGUUAAUACUGAGUGUCAACUUGAUUGGAUUGAAGGAUACCAAGUAUUCAUCCUGGGUGUAUCUGUGAGGGUGUUGCCAAAGGAGAUUAACAUUUGAGUCGGUGGGCUGGGCAAGGCAGACCCACCCUUAAUCGGGUUGGGUACCAUCUAAUCAGCUGCCAGCAUGGCUAGAAUAUAAUAAGCAGAUAGAAAAUGUGAAAAAAGGUACUGGCCUAGCCUCCCAGCCUACAUCUUUCUGCCAUGCUGGAUGCUUCCUGCCCUUGAACAUCAGACUCCAAGUUCUUCAGUUCUGGAACUUGGACUGGCUCUUCUUCCUCCUCAGUCUGUAGAUGGCCUAUUGUGGGACCUUGUGAUCAUGUGAGUUGUA